AUUGAACGCUGGCGGCAGGCCUAACACAUGCAAGUCGAACGGUAACAGGAAGAAGCUUGCUUCUUUGCUGACGAGUGGCGGACGGGUGAGUAAUGUCUGGGAAACUGCCUGAUGGAGGGGGAUAACUACUGGAAGCGGUAGCUAAUACCGCAUAACGUCGCAAGACCAAAGAGGGGGACCUUCGGGCCUCUUGCCAUCGGAUGUGCCCAGAUGGGAUUAGCUAGUAGGUGGGGUAACGGCUCACCUAGGCGACGAUCCCUAGCUGGUCUGAGAGGAUGACCAGCCACACUGGAACUGAGACACGGUCCAGACUCCUACGGGAGGCAGCAGUGGGGAAUAUUGCACAAUGGGCGCAAGCCUGAUGCAGCCAUGCCGCGUGUAUGAAGAAGGCCUUCGGGUUGUAAAGUACUUUCAGCGGGGAGGAAGGGAGUAAAGUUAAUACCUUUACUCAUUGACGUUACCCGCAGAAGAAGCACCGGCUAACUCCGUG
RNAcentral lists this ribosomal RNA (490 nucleotides) under uncultured bacterium. Its description in RNAcentral is "partial 16S ribosomal RNA". It matches the Rfam family "Bacterial small subunit ribosomal RNA", at positions 30 to 507 of the family's 1533-position model. The record is from RNAcentral.